AUCUUCCUACGGGGGGCAGCAGUGAGGAAUAUUGGUCAAUGGGCUUACGCCUGAACCAGCCAAGUCGCGUGAGGGAAGACUGCCCUGUGGGUUGUAAACCUCUUUUGUCAGGGAGCAACGCCGGCUACGUGUAGCCGGACUGAGAGUACCUGAAGAAAAAGCAUCGGCUAACUCCGUGCCAGCAGCCGCGGUAAUACGGAGGAUGCGAGCGUUAUCCGGAUUUAUUGGGUCUAAAGGGUGCGUAGGCGGAAUGCCAAGUCAGCGGUAAAAUCGCGGGGCUAAACCUCGCUCCGCAGUUG
This 299-nucleotide ribosomal RNA is filed under the name uncultured bacterium. Its description in RNAcentral is "partial 16S ribosomal RNA". It matches the Rfam family "Bacterial small subunit ribosomal RNA", at positions 333 to 629 of the family's 1533-position model. The record is from RNAcentral.